This 402-nucleotide ribosomal RNA is filed under the name uncultured bacterium. RNAcentral describes it as "bacterial SSU rRNA". It matches the Rfam family "Bacterial small subunit ribosomal RNA", at positions 355 to 774 of the family's 1533-position model. The record is from RNAcentral.
UGGGGAAUCUUGCACAAUGGGGGAAACCCUGAUGCAGCGACGCCGCGUGAACGAUGAAGCCCUUCGGGGUGUAAAGUUCUUUCGACAGGAACGAUAAUGACGGUACCUGGAGAAGAAGCUGCGGCUAACUACGUGCCAGCAGCCGCGGUAAUACGUAGGCAGCGAGCGUUGUUCGGAGUUACUGGGCGUAAAGAGUGCGUAGGCGGCGAGCCAAGUUUGGCGUGAAAUCUCCCGGCUUAACCGGGAGGGUGCGCCGAAAACUGGUUGGCUGGAGUAUGGGAGAGGAAAGCGGAAUUCCUGGUGUAGCGGUGAAAUGCGUAGAUAUCAGGAGGAACACCUGCGGUGUAGACAGCUUUCUGGACCAAAACUGACGCUGAGGCACGAAAGCGUGGGUAGCAAACA